CCAAUAGCGUAUAUUAAAGUUGUUGCAGUUAAAAAGCUCGUAGUUGAAUUUCGGGAUUGGCGUGUCGGUCGUGCCUUAAGGGGUAUGAACUGGCGUCGUCGAUUUCUCACCUUCUGGAGAAACACGAUGUCCUUAAUUGGGUGUCGUGCGGAACCAGGACCUUUACCUUGAAAAAAUUAGAGUGUUUAAAGCAGGCAUUUUGCUCGCAUACAUUAGCAUGGAAUAAUAAAAUAGGACGGUUGGUUCUAUUUUGUUGGUUUCUAGGAUCACCGUAAUGAUUAAUAGGGAUAGUUGGGGGCAUUAGUAUUCAAUUGUCAGAGGUGAAAUUCUUGGAUUUAUUGAAGACUAACUACUGCGAAAGCAUUUGCCAAGGAUGUUUUCAUUAAUCAAGAACGAAAGUUAGGGGAUCGAAGACGAUCAGAUACCGUCGUAGUCUUAACCAUAAACUAUGCCGACUAGGAAUCAGACGAUGUUAAUUUUUUAAUGACUCGUUUGGCACCUUACG
RNAcentral lists this ribosomal RNA (505 nucleotides) under uncultured Glomeromycotina. RNAcentral's name for it is "partial small subunit ribosomal RNA". It matches the Rfam family "Eukaryotic small subunit ribosomal RNA", at positions 591 to 1092 of the family's 1831-position model. Lineage: Eukaryota; Fungi; Glomeromycota. The record is from RNAcentral.